Non-coding RNA from Erythranthe guttata (spotted monkey flower), 102 nucleotides. The record is from RefSeq and is a predicted model, not a curated record. NCBI's taxonomy places the organism in Eukaryota, Viridiplantae, Streptophyta, Magnoliopsida, Lamiales, Phrymaceae.
UUGGAAUGAAUUUAAUAAAGGAUGUGAAGCAAAUGUUUAGUUGAGGUUGUCAUUUAGUUCUAUUUAGUUUUGUCACUAGGGACCUAUCUCUUAAGACCCCUU